Molecule: ribosomal RNA, 253 nt
Filed under: uncultured bacterium
Lineage: Bacteria
Description: partial 16S ribosomal RNA
Rfam family: Bacterial small subunit ribosomal RNA
Source: RNAcentral
UACGAAGGGGGCUAGCGUUGCUCGGAAUCACUGGGCGUAAAGCGCACGUAGGCGGCUUUCUAAGUCAGGGGUGAAUUCCUGGAGCUCAACUCCAGAACUGCCUUUGAUACUGGAGAGCUAGAGUCCGGAAGAGGUGAGUGGAACUGCGAGUGUAGAGGUGAAAUUCGUAGAUAUUCGCAAGAACACCAGUGGCGAAGGCGGCUCACUGGUCCGGUACUGACGCUGAGGUGCGAAAGCGUGGGGAGCAAACAGG